AUGUCAAUCACUUGGGGUUCUCGUUAAAAUGCAGGUUCCGAGUCAGUAGUUCCCCAGAAGGUAUUGAGAUUAUGCAUUUCUAACAAGCUUCCUGGUGAUGCCCAG
RNAcentral lists this microRNA precursor (105 nucleotides) under Marmota monax (woodchuck). Lineage: Eukaryota; Metazoa; Chordata; Mammalia; Rodentia; Sciuridae. The record is from RNAcentral.